UAGGAAAUAGUGUAGUGGAAGCACCAAGAGUUUUGCCCUCUUUAGGAGGGGUUCAAGUCCCUUUUUUCUAA
This 71-nucleotide transfer RNA is filed under the name Pontinus rathbuni (highfin scorpionfish). Its description in RNAcentral is "tRNA-Gln". It matches the Rfam family "tRNA". Rfam says of the family: Transfer RNA (tRNA) molecules are approximately 80 nucleotides in length. Their secondary structure includes four short double-helical elements and three loops (D, anti-codon, and T loops). Further hydrogen bonds mediate the characteristic L-shaped molecular structure. tRNAs have two regions of fundamental functional importance: the anti-codon, which is responsible for specific mRNA codon recognition, and the 3' end, to which the tRNAs corresponding amino acid is attached (by aminoacyl-tRNA synthetases). tRNAs cope with the degeneracy of the genetic code in two manners: having more than one tRNA (with a specific anti-codon) for a particular amino acid; and 'wobble' base-pairing, i.e. permitting non-standard base-pairing at the 3rd anti-codon position. The record is from RNAcentral. Lineage: Eukaryota; Metazoa; Chordata; Actinopteri; Perciformes; Scorpaenidae.